RNAcentral lists this long non-coding RNA (629 nucleotides) under Nicotiana tabacum (common tobacco). RNAcentral's name for it is "long non-coding RNA (NTAB_LNC006360)". The record is from RNAcentral. Lineage: Eukaryota; Viridiplantae; Streptophyta; Magnoliopsida; Solanales; Solanaceae.
CACACGAGAAUUAAAACAAACUAAACAAUAGUGUAAGCAAAUCUGCAGAAAUGCAGUCACAGCGAAUCAAACAAUCCAAGCUUCAAUUCUUCAUUAAUCGAUUUCAAAUAAGUUUUUCAUAUCAAUUUAGUUCCAGCACCUGGACUCUGGAAACAUACCUGAAAAUUGGAACACAAGUAAGGAAAGGAAGAGAUCAGAUUGCAAACAGCAGUAUUCAACGAGUGCAAUAGCAAUUCAAACCAGGCUCGAGCUCAGAAUUGUUUUGAAAAUUCAACAGUAUCAAUAUAACAGCCAAACAAUACCAAAUACUCGAAACUAAGACCAGAAAUCAGUGGAUCUAAUCAGUUAACCCAUGACUGAUUCAAACUUGUCUUCACACUUCAAAUGUUCGAACAAAAUUAAGGAAUUCAAGUAGUUCCUAAUCUUAACUAAGCUAAAAUGUUGAUUAAAAACUGAACCUUUGAAAAUGAUCUAGGGAGGAGCCAUGUAACAGUUUUUCUUUGAUUUUUCUGGUUUUUUUUGUUUUUUUUUUUUGCUUUCUGGAUUUUUCUAUUGCUUUUGGGGUUUUGGAGUUUGAAUUUCAGGUCUUAUAUCUGAAAAUUAGAGAGCAUACUUUGGGAGGAUUUCUG